RNAcentral lists this transfer RNA (69 nucleotides) under Diaphanes nubilus. RNAcentral describes it as "tRNA-Gln". Lineage: Eukaryota; Metazoa; Arthropoda; Insecta; Coleoptera; Lampyridae. The record is from RNAcentral.
UAUAUUUUAGUAUAGGAUGUACAGGAGUUUUUGAUACUCAACGUAAUAGUUUGACUCUAUUUAAUAUAA